RNAcentral lists this transfer RNA (72 nucleotides) under Marmota monax (woodchuck). RNAcentral's name for it is "tRNA.Ala". The record is from RNAcentral. Lineage: Eukaryota; Metazoa; Chordata; Mammalia; Rodentia; Sciuridae.
GGGGAUGUAGUUCAAGUGGUGGCACGCUCGCCUGGCAUGCGCGGGGCGCUGAGUUCGAUCCUCAGCACCACA